UUAUUUUUGCGAGUGUAGAACCGUGAUCGAGAAGGCUGUUCACCCAGGGCCAAGCUCAUCCAUUGCACUCCGGCUGUGCUGGCCCCUGCGAAUUCCCCAAAAGUGGGAAUCUCAACUGCAUAAUUUCUGGUAGUGGGGGACUGUAUUCACACUCUCUCCUG
This is a small nuclear RNA of 161 nucleotides. Its record names the gene U1. It matches the Rfam family "U1 spliceosomal RNA". Rfam says of the family: U1 is a small nuclear RNA (snRNA) component of the spliceosome (involved in pre-mRNA splicing). Its 5' end forms complementary base pairs with the 5' splice junction, thus defining the 5' donor site of an intron. The record is from Ensembl.